GACGAACGCUGGCGGCGUGCUUAACACAUGCAAGUCGAGCGGAAAGGCCCUUCGGGGUACUCGAGCGGCGAACGGGUGAGUAACACGUGAGUAACCUGCCCUGGACUUUGGGAUAACCCUCGGAAACGGGGGCGUAAUACCGGAUACGACUUUUCCUUCGCAUGAGGUUUGGUUGGGAAAGUUUUUACGGUUCGUGGGAGUGGGCGUCGCGGCCUAUCAGCUUGUUGGUGGGGUGAUGGCCUACCAAGGCGACGACGGGUAGCCGGCCUGAGAGGG
RNAcentral lists this ribosomal RNA (276 nucleotides) under uncultured bacterium. Its description in RNAcentral is "partial 16S ribosomal RNA". It matches the Rfam family "Bacterial small subunit ribosomal RNA", at positions 28 to 300 of the family's 1533-position model. The record is from RNAcentral.